RNAcentral lists this transfer RNA (77 nucleotides) under Bacillota bacterium. RNAcentral's name for it is "tRNA-Arg". It matches the Rfam family "tRNA". Rfam says of the family: Transfer RNA (tRNA) molecules are approximately 80 nucleotides in length. Their secondary structure includes four short double-helical elements and three loops (D, anti-codon, and T loops). The record is from RNAcentral. RNAcentral also lists the same sequence under 8 other names. Lineage: Bacteria; Bacillati; Bacillota.
GCGCCAGUAGCUCAUCUGGAUAGAGCAACUGCCUUCUAAGCAGUAGGUAGGGGGUUCGAGUCCCUCCUGGCGUACCA